GAUGAACGCUGGCGGCGUGCCUAAUACAUGCAAGUCGAGCGAACAGACGAGGAGCUUGCUCCUCUGACGUUAGCGGCGGACGGGUGAGUAACACGUGGAUAACCUACCUAUAAGACUGGGAUAACUUCGGGAAACCGGAGCUAAUACCGGAUAAUAUAUUGAACCGCAUGGUUCAAUAGUGAAAGACGGUUUUGCUGUCACUUAUAGAUGGAUCCGCGCCGCAUUAGCUAGUUGGUAAGGUAACGGCUUACCAAGGCGACGAUGGGUAGCCGACCUGAGAGGGUGAUCGGGCACACUGGAACUGAGACACGGUCCAGACUCCUACGGGAGGCAGCAGUAGGGAAUCGUCCGCAAUGGGCGAAAGCCUGACGGAGCAACGCCGCGUGAGUGAUGAAGGUCUUCGGAUCGUAAAACUCUGUUAUUAGGGAAGAACAAAUGUGUAAGUAACUAUGCACGUCUUGACGGUACCUAAUCAGAAAGCCACGGCUAACUACGUG
Molecule: ribosomal RNA, 497 nt
Filed under: uncultured bacterium
Lineage: Bacteria
Description: partial 16S ribosomal RNA
Rfam family: Bacterial small subunit ribosomal RNA
Source: RNAcentral